CUUGGUCUCAACACGCCGCGGCGGUACUUACCGCCGCCUGACGGGACAACCACCGCGGCGGUACGUACUGCCGCGGCAAAUAAUUUCCCCAAGAUCACAGCGCCACUCGGUGGCGAUGUGGGGCAAGGGCAAUACACACGACGAACAGAAGAUACCGCAUAACUAACACCUUUUACGUUGUUGAGAAGCAUUUGUACACAAUUAAGAAAUCAUUUUAUCUUUUAAAUUUGGACGAAAUAAGGUGUUAAUAGGGCUUGCAGUGCAAAACAUCACGGGCCACAAACUUCCAGCAACCAGCCCCCAGAACAAAAUUGUCCCAGCAAAGAGAAAGGUGCAUGCCAAGACAUGGCUCAGCCUCAUUCAAUUCAAAUAGGGAAGGCUCAAAUAGUUAAACAUU
Long non-coding RNA from Daphnia pulex (common water flea), 397 nucleotides. RefSeq lists it as uncharacterized. The transcript is spliced from 2 exons. Lineage: Eukaryota; Metazoa; Arthropoda; Branchiopoda; Diplostraca; Daphniidae. The record is from RefSeq and is a predicted model, not a curated record.